This 324-nucleotide ribosomal RNA is filed under the name Triticum aestivum (bread wheat). Its description in RNAcentral is "partial small subunit ribosomal RNA". The record is from RNAcentral. Lineage: Eukaryota; Viridiplantae; Streptophyta; Magnoliopsida; Poales; Poaceae.
AUGCAUGUUGUCGAUCUCCAUGAAGGUGGCGCUCGGUACACAUGCGAAUGCGGCUUGUUUGAGCACAUGGGGAUGCUUUGUUGCCAUGCUAUCAAGGUUCUUCUUCAUUUGGGGGUGCGGAAGAUACCUAGCUUUCAUGUAAUGAAGCGAUGGACAAUAGAUGCCCGUGACAACUUGCCGCUUCACCUCAUCCAUUACCAGAAAGAUGAAGUCCCUUCGCGGUUGUCAUCCUACCGGCAUACUGCACUACACCUGACAGCACUCGAGUUUGUGCAACUCGGUGACACAAUGUUGAUGCAUUCGAUAGAGCCAUGGACAUUUUAA